UCCUUAGAUGUCCGGGGCCGCACGCGCGCUACACUGAAGGAAUCAGCGUGGCUUUCUCCCUGACCCGAAAGGGUUGGGAAACCCGUUGAAUCUCCUUCGUGAUAGGGAUUGGGGCUUGAAAUUGUUCCCCAUGAACGAGGAAUUCCCAGUAAGCGCGAGUCAUAAGCUCGCGUUGAUUACGUCCCUGCCCUUUGUACACACCGCCCGUCGCUCCUACCGAUUGAAUGUUCCGGUGAGCUCUUCGGACUGCGCGGUCUGCAGUUUCUGCGUUCCGUGCGGAAAGUUGCGCAAACCUUAACAUUUAGAGGAAGGAGAAGUCGUAACA
RNAcentral lists this ribosomal RNA (325 nucleotides) under uncultured eukaryote. RNAcentral describes it as "partial 18S ribosomal RNA". It matches the Rfam family "Eukaryotic small subunit ribosomal RNA", at positions 1470 to 1796 of the family's 1831-position model. The record is from RNAcentral.